CACAAAGACAAGCAUCAGAAAAGAAAAGAGAAGAACAAACGAAGAAGAAAAAAGAUGCCAACGAUAAAACCGUCGUUGGAGAGUGAUGCACAAAGGAAUUUUCGAGCCCUCGUCCAAUGACAGACUCUCGUCAAUGAAAAAUGUCAGGUCAUCAUCAUCGAUUAGCUUCACGGUUGGGUUGGUAAUUUUGAUCCAUAUGCCGUCGUUAUUAUGAUCUUAUAUUCACUGGGAUCUACCUCAAGAAUAUGAUACAGUCUCUGCACAAGUCCUUCAUAGGUAAUGCUGUCUGAAACCAUAAUUCCCUUCGUUUUACCACCAAUGUAUAUAGAAUUGCCCCACUUCCCAUCAUAGUUAACCAAAAGUCUAAGUUUAUUAAUUUUCCUGAAAAUACAUGGAAAAAAUUAGUUAGCAAAGAAAGUAUAUAAACUGAUUAAAUGAAAGAAACUUACUCUACAACUACAAGUAGAAAUAAAUUGAUUGAUUAAAAUAAACCCUAGCUGUCUGGGGAUGAGUAUCUUUCUUCCUCCUCUUUUUUUGUUCUUGCUUCUUUGUUCUCUAAAAAUCUAGUGAUAUGCUCACUGGCGGAGCCAAGUUAAGGGCUGCCCCGGGCUGUAGCCGAGGUAGCUUGAGGUGAAAAAUAAAAUUUUACAUGUAAUUUUGAUUGAUUUUCGAAUGUAGCCCAACAAAUAUUUAGUCACUAAUUCGAAUUCUUUAGGUUUAACUAUAUAAAAUUAUAUAAUACAGUUUGUUCGACAAAAAAAAAAAUAUAAUACAGUUUGUAAACCAUCUCUUUUUCUUACAAUAUUUUUCUCAUCGUUUCUUGUAAAUAUACCAGUUUGGAUUUGUUUAAUUUUAAUACGUAUUUGUUUAAUUACAAAAAAAAUUUGGCUCACCUUGUGAAAAUUUUUAAGCUAGCUGAUACGUUGAAAAAUACGGUAUCAAGUUUCUUUAUUUAUAAAAAUUUAAAAUUUUAAGUUAGCCCACCCGAUAAAAAAUUCCUAGCUCCGCUAUUGGAUAUGCUGCUCUUGGAGGAUUCCGGCUAUGUACUCAAAUGUGACCAUUGUCGUCUAGUAAAGAACCUUGUGCCUUAUGCUGACGUAGUUUGUGUGGGUUUCGACAAAUUCCGACCUAGUGGAGGACUAUACUUGAUGGAAAACAAGGGACUUUCAUUUUCAUCAUCGGUCAUGAUAAUCAUCAGUCACCUUGAAAGAUGAGGAUGAUGAGCAAUAAACCAGAAGAAAAUAUCCAACCAUUUCAAUUUGACAAAAAGAGCGAAAAAGUUUACCUUGUAGUUCUAGGAGAAGAUACUCGGGGUUUAAGAAUAUUCAUCUUCGAGCUUUUAUCCAAACAUAGACUCUGUUCUAUUUAAAAUGACAAGUCCUCAUCAUCGACUAUCUGUACUGGUUGAGCAGGCAAUUUUGAGUCAUCUGUAGUCUUCAUUAUAAUCUCAUACUCAUAUGGAUCUAUCCCGACGAUACGAUACACGCUACCUAGAAGCUCCUCAAAAGUAAUGUCCUUUGACACCACUAUUUCUUUCGCUUUACCACCAACGUAUGCAGUACUAACCCACUCUCCAUCGUAGUGAACCGAAAUGCCAACUUUACUUAUUUUCCUGAAAGUGAAAUAAAACAAUUAGGAAAAGAACAAUCGUGAAAAAUUAUAGGCAUUGGCGACUUAUAAAAAUAUAACAUUCAAAAUCAAUAAAGGUCAUCGUACCCAGUGCACAAGGUUUCCGCUUUACGCAGGGUCUGGGAGAGGCCCUUGUAUUACACUUGAUACCGACCAUGUCUGACAAUGCUUCUUCAUGUUCUGUAAAGGCCUUGAGAAUCGUGUGCAAGUUAGAUUUUUCUGUGCAUUAAAGAAUCUUCACAAGCUCAUCCAAGCACCAAGUUGAGGAGGCAAAGUUCUUUGAAAGAGUGACGAGGGAAAUCAGUGAUUCUUCAAUUGCUUUUACAAUUCCUGAGGAAAUAGAUUGUCCUCUCUCAAGCCUUUUAUCAUCUCUAAAGGUGGUAAUUCCUUUCUGCUCCAAUGAAGCGUACAUAUGAUCCACAAUAUUCAAGCGGGUGUCUUUGCCUCUAAAACACAUAAACACAUCAUACUUCCAUCUUUGAGAAGAAAAAGGUGUUGAUGUUUUAGCCAGUAUCGAAGAGGGGAUCGUAGAAGGAAACACAGGGUGCAAUUUCCUCCGUAUGUCAUCAACAAUUUCUUUAAUGAGCUCUGAUUCGUGCCUACAACAAAGAAAAGAGACUAUUAAUCACUUUUCCAUCCUCUCUCUCACUCUCGUUUUUGUAAUUUCUCCUACAAUAACUUUGGUCAGUGAGUGCAUUUUUUUCCCUAGAUGAUUGUGAUUUAAUCUAGCUACUACAUAAUUUUUGAAUUUUACUCAUCUAACAGCAAUAUCAAUGCGGUGUUGCAAACAUACAUCAUUUAGCAGAAGAAAAGAGUCUAUAAAAAUAUAUGCAUACCGGCCCCUUGAAUCCCAUCCAGAGAGGUUUGCUACUUGGGUUAAGGUCAUCUCCAACCGAAGGGUCCAGAGGGCCAGAGGGCCGAAAAUAGCCCUAAAACCGUCUCCAACCGAGGGCUAGGCCAGAGGGCUCUGGAAUCUGGGAGGGGCCCACGGGAUCGGAGAGGGCUGGAGGGCUGGAGGGGGGCUGGCUUAUUUUUUUUUUAAUGUUUUCUAUUGCUGUCGGUUAAAACCGACAGCAUUAAAGAGGUUUUUUUUUUUAAUAGUUUGAAAUGUUUUUUAAUGUAACGGCUAGCUGAGUCAGCUAGCCGUUGGCUUUUUUUUUUUUUUUUUAAAUUUAAUUUAAACAUUUUUUUCUUCUAUAAAUAUGGUGAAGUUCUUUCAAUUCUUCACUUCAUUUGCAAUAUUUCCUUCUUCAAUAUUUUUCAAUAUUUCCUUCAAUAUAUUUCUCAAUAUUUCCUUCAAUAUAUUUUCUAAUAUUUCCUUCAUCUAUAAUAUUUGUUUCAAUUUUUCAAUAUUUCCUUCAAUAUAUUUUCCAAUAUUUCCUUCAUCUAUAAUAUUUGUUUCAAUUUUUCAAUAUUUCCUUCAUCUAUAAUAUUUCUUCAUUUCAUUUGCAAUAUAUUUCUCAAUAUUUCCUUCAAUAUUUCCUUCAAUAUAUUUUCUAAUAUUUCCUUCAUCUAUAAUAUUUGUUUCAAUUUUUCAAUAUUUCCUUCAAUAUAUUUUCCAAUAUUUCCUUCAUCUAUAAUAUUUGUUUCAAUUUUUCAAUAUUUCCUUCAUCUAUAAUAUUUCUUCAUUUCAUUUGCAAUAUUUCCUUCAAUAUUUCCUUCAUUUUUUUUCAAAAAAAAUGGCCUCAUCUGCAAUGAAAGGUAGGGCUUGGACCCGAAAAGAAGAUGAAGCUCUUUGCAAGGCUUAUAAAUGGAUAUCAGAAGAUAGUGUGAGGGGGAUUUCUCAAACAAGUGAAGGUGUUUGGACUCGUGUGUCCAAAAAAUACUUAGAGUUCUACGAAGGCACCAUUCCACCGAAUACCCGAAACCACGAAAGUUGUUCUUCAAGAUGGAAGAAACAUCUUCAUCCAAGUUUGAAUAAAUGGCAUCAAGCACUAUUAGCAGCAGCAAGUAGACAUGAAAGCGGCGCCAAUUACUAUGACGAAGUUAGUGUUUUUCCAGUUUAUUUUAAAUGUUUAAUUAUAUUACAUUAAUUUCGUGAAUUAAUUUCCUAAAAUUUUUUUAAUUAUAUUUUCUAGGUACGCUAAGCGGAGGAAUUGUAUAUGGAGGGCAGCUCAAAACCCUUUCAGUUUCAUGGUUGUUGGGAAAUUUGUAAAGGGUGGGUGUUAUUUGAAGAUCCACCUCAACAUAGAGUGGAUCCUUUGGAAGUUGCAUCCCCAUCUGUAGAUAUGAAUGAAGAUGGAUCUCCUACCAUUCAACAAACAAGGGUAGAAAAUCUGACUCCAUCCGAAAUUUCUUUACCUAGGGCUAUGGGACGAAACAAGGCCCGAAGGUUAAGGGAAAAGGGCCAGGCAAAUGCUGAUUACGCCGCUCAACAUGAAGUGGCGGCCUCAUUUCGAUUAUUGGCGGAGCAAAAUGCCCGUGAGGCGGAAGAAAGGAAGUGUAGACAUGAAGAGCGAGCCAAACAAAUACAAGAAGAGAUGGAUGAUAAGAAUAUGGAAAGGAACACUUCGAAUUACACUCCAAUGAGUAAGGCCUAUUUUGAUAAGGAAAAAAAAAAGAAAUUAUGGCUCGGCGGCAAUUGUUUACCUCUGACUAUACUCCUACAAUGGCGGAUGAUGAAGAUGAUAUUGAUUAUGGAUAUUAAAUUUAAGUCGUUGUAAUUUUUAAAUUUAAGUUAAUGUUGUUUUUAAAUUUAAUUUGUAGUGUUUAAAUAUAAGUUGUUGUUUUUAAAUUUAAGUUGUUGUAGUUUUUAAAUUUAAAUAAUAAAUUAUGUUUGGCCCUAUGGCCCUUUGGCCCUCGGUUGGAGACGGUUUUUUGUGAAAGGGCUAAAACGAGCCCUUUGGCCCUCUGGCCCUCGGUUGGAGACGGAGGCAAAUAUGGCCAUGUACUGUUCAUUAAAAUAUUAAUAUCUUGGGGAAUCUUAGAGGGCCAGAGGGCUUAAACGAGCCCUUUGGCCAGCCCUCGGUUGGAGAUGGCCUAAAGCAGCCCUCCACCUUCGAAUCUUGUCUGGGUCAUCCUUAUAUGUUUCUUCGUGUUUAGCAAAGGCUUCAGCAAAACUCCAUGUUUGGUUUCGUACGUCAGAGGGAUCGACAUUAUAGAAAAUUGGUAGCACCGUUUUUCUUUUUCCAUGGGAUUCAAGAAUCAAUUCAAGCUCAUCCAAUGCCCAUAAUGAUGAUGCAUAAUUCUCUUCAAGAAUAGUAAUUGCAGUCCUCGAAUUCUGAAUUAAAUUUCUGAGUACUUGAUUCUCGCGCUCAAUUCUUUAAAUACAAUGACCAAUAGUUUUUAGUUCGCACUUCUUAAACUCUGUACAUAGAGUAUCUCGAAAAAACUUGCUGACGCCUUCUCAUGUAAAACUCAUAAAGGCAUCAUAUUUCCCCUGAGGAUUUGGAGGAGAUGAAUUCAAACCCAAGGAGCUUGAUGCCAUUGGAGAUGUGGUUCUCACAAUAGAAUAAUGAGAUUAAUUUCACAAGCAAUCUGCUGGAGACAGCACAACUUGUUAAAGUAAGCUAUUUGGUAAUACAACCAGUAAAAAAUAUAAAAAAAAAACACAAAUAGUCUGCGAAAUUGCAUACUAUAUACAACAACAACAACAACAACAAAGCCUUUUCCCACUAAGUGGGGUCGGCUAUAUGAAUCCUAGAACGCCAUUGCGCUCGGUUUUGUGUCAUGUCCUCCGUUAAAUCCAAGUACUCAAGUCCUUUCUUAGGGUCUCUUCCAAAGUUUUCCUAGGUCUUCCUCUACCCCUUCGGCCCUGAACCUCUGUCCGUAGUCACAUUUUCGAACCGGAGCGUCAGUAGGCCUUCUUUGCACAUGUCCAAACCAUCGGAACCGAUUUUCUCUCAUAUUUCCUUCAAUUUUGGCUACUCCUACUUUACCUCGGAUAUCCUCAUUCCCAAUCUUAUCCUUUCUCGUGUGCCCAUACAUCCCACGAAGCAUCCUCAUCUCCGCUACACCCAUUUUGUGUACGUGUUGAUGCUUCACCGCCCAACAUUCUGUGCCAUACAACAUCGCUGGCCUUAUUGUCGUCCUAUAAAAUUUUCCCUUGAGCUUCAGUGGCCUACGACGGUCACACAACACGCCGGAUGCACUCUUACACUUCAUCUAUCCAGCUUGUAUUCUAUGGUUGAGAUCUCCAUCUAAUUCUCCGUUCUCUUACAAGAUAGAUCCUAGGUAGCGAAAACAGUCACUUUUUGUGAUCUUCGCUAGAUUGCUCCGGUCAUUAGUGUGGAUAAGUAUAUAAAUGGAUAGAGAUAGGAAAACAAACACAAGAUGUACGUGGUUCACCCAUAUUGGCUACGUCCACGGAAUAGAGGAGUUCUCAUUAAUUGUGAAGGGUUUACACAAGUACAUAGGUUCAAGCUUUCCUUUAGUGAGUACAAGUAAAUGAUUUAGUACAAAUGACAUUAGGAAAUAUUGUGGGAGAAUGAUCUCGUAACCACGAAACUUCUAAGUACCGGAGUGUGGUAUCGUCUUGACUUGCCUUAUCUGUCUCAUAGGUAGAUGUGGCAUCUUCUCUAGAAGUACUCUUCCUCCAUCCAGGGGUGGUAUCUGUAACUGGUAGAGAUGCACAAGGUAAUGUAUCAAUUUCACUUGAAGCUUACUUGUAGUUUCAGGCUUGGUCAAGCGCGAUACAAACUAUGUAGUAGAAGUCCCCCCAAGUCGCCGAGCUAGGGGAUCUGCUGAAAGAGGUGACAGACAAGGUAAGCAAUCAGAGCUCCGGCUGAUUGUUCACAUUCUCCCUAUCUUGCAGGCAGCAUGAAGGAUAAAGAGAAGAAAAAUGAGAAGAGAUGAUAUGGGAUACUUUUGCUUUUGAAGAAGUAACUUUCCACAGGCUUAUUCUUGAACUGGGCUGGAGGGAUUUUCUGGUUUCCUCUAGAGUAUAAGGCCGACUGAAGAAUUUGAGGGCCAAAACAAGUCCAUCAAAUCUAGAGUACGUUCGACCUUGCUGAUAUGGGAUACUUUUGCUUUUGACAGAGUAGUGGAUGUAUCUAGGGGUGGGCAAACGGGUCCUGGAUCCGCGGGUAGGGGCGGGUAUUAGCGGUUCGGGGCGGGUCCUAAUUUUAAAAAAGAGAAACGGGGCGGGGCGGGGCGGGUCUUUGAAAUUUUAGGUUCGGGCCGGUUCCAAAAGUAUAGAAAAACGGGUACCCGGACCGGCCCGUUUGCAAAAAUACCCUGUGUUGGGUACUGUUACUAUCCCAGGCCCACUUUUUUUUGUCCCUCCCCGUGAUGGUUCUCUCACUCUCGAGAACACACACCCAAUCUCUCGAACCUUCUCCCUUCUCCCUCAUUCCUCUUCUCUGUUUCUUCUCCCCCAUCUCUGCAACUCUCAUUCCGGAGCUCGAUCGCGCUGAUGUCAUCCCAGGCCGGCCAAGUCGGAAUCUACGGCUACACGGCCUACUCCGCCAGCAAGUUCGGGCUCCGUGGCUUGGCCGAGGCUCUGCAGCAAGAGGUGAUUUCUCACGACAUUCACGUUUCUCUCGUAUUCCCGUUGGACAUAGACACCCUUGGCUUCGCAGAUGACUUUGCCGCUCUUUCUUCCCGAGACGCAGAUGACUUUGCCGCUCUUUCUUCCCAGGACCAAGACUCGCAGUCUCUCUCUUCUUCCUCGGACACCUUCAUACUCGGCUUCGUCAUCGCCAACAUCGUUGGAAUUCAAUACUCUCAUUUCUCUCUCACCCCUUUCUCUCACUCUUUCACAGUCUCACUCUCUACACGUCCCUCAUUUCUCUCGGAUCUGUCAUGGAUCCGAGUGUUCUGUGCAAAUAAAGCUCUUUGUCAUGGAUCUGAGUGGUAUUUGCACACUCGUAAUAUACUCAGACCGACAUGCAUCAGUCACAGAUUCGAGUGGUGUUCGCCGGAGACGUGACGAUGCUGAACGGCGCGACGGUGAAGGUUGUCGCUGGGCAUCUAGGUUUCGCAUCGGAAGAAGAUAGACAACGACGUCGUUCCCUUCCGUUGGACCCGUGGACCCGGCCCGAACCGCCCGUUUCAAACAGGCCGGGUUAUGUCCGGUUUCAACUUCAGAAAUUUCAAUACCCGCCCCGCCCCGCCCCGUUCCAUUUUAAAGCGGGUCCGGUCCGGUCCCUUCAAAUUUGGGCCAGGCCCGGCCCGUGCCCACCCCUAGAUGUAUCGGCACGUGUGCUGUUACGCUUGUCUCCACAUGCUUCCUUGUAUCCUUCUCACUUGCCCUAUCUGUUCCUCAUGCAGAUGCGGUAUCUUCUCUGGAAGCAUAAGAUGUUGAAGAUGAGUACUCGAGAGCAAUGUCAGGUAAGUAAUCAGGUAAGGGGUUCCAGGCAGUCAGUUCCUGGCUAGAAGCUUGAUUCAAGUGCUGACUGAUUGCUCUCUUUCUCUUUGUCUUGCAGGUAAGAACAAGGCCAAAGGAAAAGACAGGGAAAAAGCAUGAUAUGGGAUACUCUUGCUUUUAACCCUGAUGAUAUGAGAUAUUCUUGCUCUAGUAUAGCUUGUUUACAGAGGUAUUAUUGGGGGGAAAGAAAGCUGAAUAUUUCGAAAGGCUUCGUUGGAAGUGCCCUCUCAGAUAAGAGGAAAGGUUGAGCAUUUUUGCAGGUCUGCCUAUCCGUUAGGGAUGGAGGUCGACAUAUAUAGGAGUCUCCCUAACAUCAAGUAAUAAUGUUAUUCCUUUACCCUGCUUGGUCAUAGCACGGUAGUGGGAGCUACCAGCUUCACAUGUUUUAACUCUGUCAGAGCACUUUGAAAAAGUGGUCUGUGGUAUCUGGAAAGCUGAUGUUGCGUGUGAAGAUUACAGACAAACUUUAUCCAAGGAGAUCCAGCUCUUGAAGUUGGGAAAUUGGUGCCUCUUCGGUUUUCGAACAAGCAAUCCUGUCGGGGAUCUGGCUCUCGAGAUUCGGAGAACGAUGCCUCUUCGAUUUUUGAGAAAGCAAUCAUGCUGGGGGUCUGGCUCUCGAGAUUCAGAUAGCAGUGUCUCUUCAAUUUUUGAGAAAGUAAUCAUGUUGGGAGUCUGGCUCUCGAGAUUCGGAGGGCGGUGCCUCUUCGAUUUUGGAGCAAGCAAUCUUGUUGGGAGUGUUUUCUCGAAUGUGAGUAAAGGUUGGGCAUGUUUGCUAGUCUACCUUGCCACGUAGCACAGAGGUUGACACACAGGGACUUUCCAAUUAUCCAGCAGUGGUACUAUUCCUUUACCCUCUCUUCGAUUUUUUAGAAAGUAAUCAUGUUGGGAGUCUGGCUCUCGAGAUUCGGAGGGCGGUGCCUCUUCGAUUUUGGAGCAAGCAAUCUUGUUAGGAGUGUUUUCUCGAAUGUGAGUAAAGGUUAGGCAUGUUUGCUAGUCUACCUUGCCACGAAGCACAGAAGUUGACACACAGGGACUUUCCAAUUAUCCAGCAGUGGUACUGUUCCUUUACCCUCUCUUUGAUUUUUGAGAAAGUAAUCAUGUUGGGAGUCUGGCUCUCGAGAUUCGGAGGGCGGUGCCUCUUCGAUUUUGGAGCAAGCAAUCUUGUUGGGAGUGUUUUCUUGAAUGUGAGUAAAGGUUGGGCAUGUUUGCUAGUCUACCUUGCCACGAAGCACAGAGGUUGACACACCGGGACUUUCCAAUUAUCCAGCAGUGGUACUGUUCCUUUACCCUUGUGGGUAAUAAUAUGGUAGCUAGACCUUCAAAAUUUAUGUGUCUAAACUUUGUUAGUGUUGUUUCUUUGCUAUUCUUUUACCCUUCUUGGUCAGAGCGAUGUAGUGGGAGCUGCAAGCUUCACGUGUCUCAACUUUGUCAGAGAACUUUGGCAAAGUUAUCUGUGGUACCCAUGAGCUACUGUUGCGUGUGGGAAGUGGGUGAUUGAACAGUACGAUUCAUGUGCUUUCUACUUCGCCAGAAUUCUUUAACAGAAUGCCCAUAAUUUCCGCAAAGCCGAGUGUGCGUGUGACAGGUGCUGACAAGGCUGGAAAAGUAGGUGCCUCUUCGAUUUUUGAGAUCGGCCCUCGUGGUCUCUGAGCAGCCCAGCUUUUGAGAAAGCAAGCCUCUUCGAUUUCUGAGAUCGGCCUUCGUGGUCUUUGAGCAGCCUAGCUUUUGAGAAAGCAAACGCCUCUUCGAUUUCUGAGAUCGACCCUCGUGGUCUCUGAGCAGCCCAUCUUUUGAGAAAGCAAACGCCUCUUCGAUUUCUGAGCAGACGCCUCUUUGAUUUCUGAAGCUUCGUCGAGUGCAGAUUUUUAUAGGGGCUGACAUUAAGUUCCAAAGCACACUUGAAUAUCCACCAGUAGAAGCUCCAUUCUUGCACUUCUAAGAUCUUGAUUUGUCCGACCUCUUCUCUCUUCAACACCUUUGAAAAUGUCUGGCCCCUCCGAUCGUCGUUUUGACUUGAACCUUGUUGAAGAGGCAGCCCUGCCUUUUCCAGACAACAUAUGGCGCCCAUCAUUCGUCUCCCCUACUAGUCCUCUUACCGUUGGGGAUUCCGUGAUGAAGAAUGAUAUGACCGCUGCGGUAGUGGCCAGGAACCUUCUCACUCCCAAAGAUAACAGACUACUUUCCAAACGGUCUGAUGAGUUGGCUGUUAAGGAUUCUCUGGCUCUCAGUGUUCAGUGUGCAGGUUCUGUGUCUAAUAUGGCCCAACGCCUAUUUGCUCGAACCCGCCAAGUUGAAUCCUUGGCGGCUGAAGUGAUGAGUCUCAAACAGGAGAUUAGAGGGCUCAAGCAUGAGAAUAAACAGUUGCACCGGCUCGCACAUGACUAUGCUACAAACAUGAAAAGGAAGCUUGACCAGAUGAAGGAAUCUGAUGGUCAGGUUUUACUUGAUCAUCAGAGAUUUGUGGGUUUGUUCCAAAGGCAUUUAUUGUCUUCGUCUUCUGGGGCUGUACCGCGUAAUGAAGCUCCAAAUGAUCAACCUCUGAUGCCUUCUCCUUCUAGGGUUCUGUCCAGUACUGAGGCUCCGAAUGAUCCCCUCCGGUGCCUUCUCUUUCUGGGGCUCUACCGACUGCUGAGACUUCUCCUAAGCAACCUUUGUGAAGGCUCCCUCUUGUUUGUUUAUUUUGACUCAAGUAUAUGUACAUAUUUGUGACUUAUCGGGGAUAUCAAUAAAUAAGUUUUCCUUCAUUCCAACGUAUUGUGUUAAAUACACCAAAGCCUUCUUCGCUAAGUUCUUUGAAUUUUCUUUUGUUGAAGCUUGUAUGUUGAAGCUUUGUGAGUGGAACAUGUAGGUUGAGGUAGUGUGCCCUUAAUUUCCCGAGUGAGGAAAACUUCUCGGUUGGAGACUUGGAAAAUCCAAGUCACUGAGUGGGAUCAGCUAUAUGAAUCUUAGAACGCCAUUGUGUUCUGUCCUGUGUCAUGUCCUCCGUUAGAUCCAAGUACUCUAAGUCUUUUCUUAGGGUCUCUUCCAAAGUUUUCCUAGGUCUUCCUCUACCCCUUCGGCCCUGAACCUCUGUCCCAUAGUCGCAUCUUCUAAUCGGAGCGUCAAUAGGCCUUCUUUGCACAUGUCCAAACCACCGUAACCGAUUUUCUCUCAUCUUUCCCUCAAUUUCGGCUACUCCUACUUUACCCCGGAUAUCCUCAUUCCUAAUCUUAUCCUUUCUCGUGUGCCCACACAUCCAUUGAAGCAUCCUCAUCUCCGCUACACCCAUUUUGUGUACGUGUUGAUGCUUCACCGCCCAACAUUCUGUGCCAUACAGCAUCGCCGACCUUAUUGCCGUCUUAUAAAAUUUUCCCUUGAGCUUCAGUGGCAUACGGUGGUCACACAACACGCCGGAUGCACUCUUCCACUUCAUCCAUCCAGCUUGUAUUCUAUGGUUGAGAUCUCCAUCUAAUUCUCCGUUCUUUUGCAAGAUAGAUCCUAGGUAACGAAAACGGUCGCUCUUUAGUAUUUCUUGAUCUUCGAUCCUCACCCUUAACUCGUUUUGGCCUCCAUUUGCACUGAACUUGCACUCCAUAUAUUCUGUCUUUGAUCGGCUUAGGCGAAGACCUUUAGAUUCCAACACUUCUCUCCAAAGGUUAAGCUUUGCAUUUACCCCUUCCUGAGUUUCAUCUAUCAACACUAUAUCGUCUGCGAAAAGCAUACACCAAGGAAUAUCAUCUUGAAUAUGUCCUGUUAUCUCAUCCAUUACCAACACAAAAAGGUAAGGACUUAAGGAUGAGCCUUGAUGUAAUCCUACAGUUAUGGGAAAGCUUUCGGUUUGUCCUUCAUGAGUUCUUACGGCAGUCUUUGCUCCUUCAUACAUAUCCUGUAUAGCUUGGAUAUAUGCUACUCGUACUCCUUUCUUCUCUAAAAUCCUCCAAAGAAUGUCUCUUGGGACCCUAUCAUACGCUUUUUCCAAAUCUAUAAAGACCAUGUGUAAAUCCUUUUUCCCAUCUCUAUAUUUUUCCAUCAAUCUUCGUAAGAGAUAGAUUGCCUCCAUGGUUGAGCGUCCUGGCAUGAACUCGAAUUGGUUGUCCGAAACCCGUGUCUCUUGCCUCAAUCUAUGCUCAAUGACUCUCUCCCAGAGCUUCAUUGUAUGACUCAUUAGCUUAAUACCCCAAUAGUUCAUGCAAUUUUGUACAUCACCCUUAUUCUUGUAGAUAGGCACCAAAGUGCUCAUUCGCCACUCAUUUGGCAUCUUCUUCGUUUUCAAAAUCCUAUUGAAAAUGUCAGUGAGCCAUGUUAUACCUGUCUCUCCCAAAACUUUCCGCACUUCGAUUGGUAUAUCGUCUGGGCCUACUGCUUUUCUAUGCUUCAUCUUCUUCAAAGCUACAACCACUUCUUCCUUCCGGAUUCUACGAUAAAAAGAGUAGUUUCUACACUCUUCUGAGUUACUCAACUCCCCUAAAGAAGCACUCCUUUCAUGUCCUUCAUUGAAAAGAUUAUGAAAAUAAACUUUCCAUCUGUCUUUAACCGCGUUCUCUGUAGCAAGAACCUUUCCAUCCUCAUCCUUGAUGCACCUCACUUGGUUUAGGUCCCUUGUCUUCUUUUCCCUUGCUCUAGCUAGUUUAUAGAUAUCCAACUCUCCUUCUUUGGUAUCUAUUCGCUUAUACAUAUCGUCAUAAGCCGCUAACUUAGCUUCUCUCACAGCUUUCUUCGCCUCUUGCUUCGCUUUUCUAUACCUUUCACCAUUUUCAUCGGUCCUAUCCUUGUAUAAGGCUUUACAACAUUCCUUCUUAGCUUUCACCUUUGUUUGUACCUCCUCAUUCCACCACCAAGAUUCCUUUUGAUGUGGGGCAAAGCCCUUGGACUCUCCUAAUACCUCUUUUGCUACUUUUCGGACACAACUAGCCAUGGAAUCCCACAUUUGGUUAGCUUCCUCCUCUCUAUCCCACACACACUGGGUGAUUACUUUCUCUUUGAAAAUGGCUUGUUUUUCUUCUUUUAGAUUCCACCAUCUAGUCCUUGGGCACUUCCAAGUCUUGUUCUUUUUUCUCACUCUUUUGAUAUGUACAUCCAUCACCAACAAGCGAUGUUGAUUAGUCACGCUCUCUCCUGGUAUAACUUUGCAAUCCUUACAAGUUAUACGAUCCCCUUUCCUCAUUAUAAGAAAAUCUAUUUGUGUUUUUUACGACCCACUCUUGUAGGUGAUCACAUGUUCUUCUCUCUUCUUAAAGAAUGUGUUGGCUAAUAAGAGAUCAUAUGCCAUUGCAAAAUCCAAGAUAGCUUCCCCAUCCUCGUUUCUCUCCCCAAAACCAUGGCCACCAUGAAAACCUCCAUAGUUGCCUGUCUCCCUGCCCACGUGUCCAUUUAAAUCUCUUCCUAUAAAUAACUUCUCCAUUUGAGCAAUUCCUUGCACCAAGUCUCCAAGGUCUUCCCAAAAUUUCUCCUUCGAAUUCGUAUCCAACCCUACUUGAGGUGCGUACGCACUAAUCACAUUGAUAAGUUCUUGUCCUAUUACAAUCUUGAUUGCCAUGAUUCUAUCUCCUACCCUCUUGACAUCUUCAACAUCUUGUGUCAAGGUCUUGUCCACGAUGAUGCCAACACCGUUUCUCGUUCUAUUUGUGCCCUAAUACCAUAGUUUAAACCCUGAGUUUUCUAGAUCCUUUGCCUUACGACCAACCCACUUAGUUUCUUGUAGGCACAUAAUAUUUAUCCUUCUCCUCACCAUAACUUCUACUACUUCCAUAGAUUUUCCCGUCAAGGUUCCUAUAUUCCACGUUCCUAAACGCAUUUUGCUCUCUUGAACUCUACCCUUAUGUCCUAGCUUCUUCACCCUUCCCCGUCUAAUAGGAUCAAAGUACUUCUUUUGUGUGUCCCGUGUAAAGUUGAUAGGAGCAUAUGCUCCCAAACAACUUUGAGUGGAGUCGUUCGAAAAGAAGUUUCUAUAGCCCCAUUGCUCAUUUAACACUGCAUCCGGGUGCCGAUGGAGAUACAGCGACCCUUGCUCACUUAUCACUGUGCUCGGGCCACACAGCGCGCCACUUACAGGUGAUGCCCUAGCUUUAGCGCGAUUUCGUUCUGGAUUCAUUUUCAUAAGGAUUCGACGUAAUCAUGGAGUGCCGGCUGUCGACUACCUGACGCCCUCCCCCUCCUCCUUUAUCUGGGCUUGAGACCGGCAAUGUAAGAUAAACUUACACGGCGGAGUUAAAUUGCAUACUAUAUAUGACACAAAAAUAUUCCCCAUAUAUCAUGUACGUCUUGAAAGUAAAACCUCUACUUGCUUUCCAAAAUUUUAAACUGGAAAAUUGAGGAUUCCCACGAUAACAAUUUCGUUUUCAAUCUGGUACAGAAAGAUUGUGUGUCUGGGGCCUAACCUGGGAGCAUGGACAAAAAUGAGGACUCGCAGCUGAAGUGAGAGAGGGGCUGGCAUAGGCAGAACACCCGCACGAGAGAGAAAACGCAAUCUUGUCUGAAUAGAAGUCUGGUUAUGUAUAGAAAGGCCAACUGUUGACUUGAGAUAUAAUGCAAGUUGAGGGUCGUCUAAAUUGGUAGACUUCCUCGCAAAAGCUUGAUCGAUGUAAAAAAUACGCGGCAAGGUGGUUAGCAGUUACUGUCAAUUGGGCUCGUAUCGUCAAAUCAGAUUGGCUUGUAAGUUACGGAGCAGGUGAGUGUAUUUGGCCUUAGAAAUUUCACUGCAAAAUCCGAUUUUUAGUGUGCCGAGAAUAUGGCUCGUACACAAAGUGUUAUAAUACAAGUAGUUUGAUACUUGAAAAAAACAAAAAAAAAUCAACCACUUAGUGUACUAAACUGUGUUCCCGACACUGAAUUUUUUUUCACCGAAGUCCCCACUUCCACAUCCAAAAAAAUUAGGUUGAGUUUGAAAUCUCCAAAAGAAUUUGCAUGCGACUAUUGCAACGCCAAGCAGUGUUUGUCAACUAGUUUAUAGCAUAACACGUGUAUCAAUUUAUUAAGGCUUUUUAGCUAAAAUGAUCUUUAAGAUUUGCAUAACUUUUUACUUUGGACCUUGAAAUUUAAAAUCAAUACAAGUGGUCCUUGAGAUUGUCCACCAUCAAUCAUUUUUGUAACGACCUGUCCCCAAAAAUUUCAGUUUUUAUAAUUUUAAAAGUUGAAAUUACAAAAUUGCCCUUCAAGGCUAAACGUUGACUUUUGUUGACCGCCUUGUCGUUUCAUGAAAGACCUAUUUUAUUGGCGUAUCCUCGUAGUACUCGUCGCUAUGAGCGAGUGGACGCAAGCGGAAUCGAAUUUGGAGUUAUAACGAAGAAGAUAUUAACGUUUAAACUCGGGGGCAUUUUAGUAAAUUUAAUCUUCACUCUAGAAGGCUAUAGAUUUUCUGGAGCAAUCUUAUUAAGCGACGUGGACGGUUGUGAUGAGUAGUUGAGGAGAGAAAUGAGAGAGAUGGACAGAAGAAGGUAGAGGAAAGGAGGUGACCAAUGGGAAAGGAGAAAAAUGAGAGAAAGGAAAGAGAGGAGGAAGGAGGGGAACCCGGUCCCUUCCCUUCGACUUGGUUCCUUCUAUGACCUACCCGUUUCUCUUCAAAUUUCAAACAGUUUUCUUCGAUUUUUCUUCUGUUUUCCGACAAAUUGUAGCCAACCAACACCACCAAUCAGCUCGGUGUCAUUCCAGCUUCCAUUUCCACCCAAGUUUGAUGGCUAUUGGUCGUGAUUUCAUGACGAAUACCCACGUUGACUCCGAGGGCACCCACAACGGCGAUCCGCUAUUUUUGAAGCUAGUGCAGUUGGCCACCACCAUCAAUCGACUCCUCUUGAGGACGAAUUGGAGUGCACCCAAAUCGAAGAAAACCACCAUCAACCAGAGAUUUACUAAAUUGAACUCAGGGGCAUUUUAUAUUUGGGUGCUCUCCAAUUCAUAGUGCAGUCGCCCAUGCAUUGGUUGGGGCGUUGGAGUUCAAUUUGAGGACAAAUUAGAGAGCACCCAAAUCUAGGGUUCUGGCGGGUUCAAGGGAAAUUAGGGCUUUUCCCAGCCAAAUUGGCCUUAGGUAUGAAAAUUGUUCCUCUCAUUGCGAUCUUCAUUCCUGUAAAUUUUGGGAAUUUUUGGAGUUGUUGGAUGAGUGGAGGAAAAACCCAAGGUCCCUCCUUAGGUUUUUCACAUUCUGAGUUCAAAUAUGCCGUCUGUUUUCCCAGAUUCUAUCGUUUAGGUAUAGUUUUACUAAAAGGUCUCUAAUUGUGUUUAGGCGCGUUGGCGGGAAGGGACGUCAUCUUCGCUAGUUCGAGCAGUUCUCGGGCAAUAAAAACUUGUGAGUGGACCUGUUCAUAACUUAUAUAUUUCUAUAAAAUAUUAGCCUAGCAUGCAUUGCAUAUUUCAUGAUUUGAGUAAGUUUUAUAUUAUGCUUUACGAAUUUCAAUAUUUUUGGCUUAUGAGAUAUUUAUGUUUUAUCACAUUUACGUUUUGCAAAAGGUUAUGAAUUAUUAGAUUUUCCUAUAUGAAACUCUAUGAAUUAUGAAUAUGACUUAUAUUACGGUUUUCGAAUAUGAGUUAUAAAUCAUGGGAUUUUCGGUUAUGAAAUUCUAAGGAUUCACGUAUCUGUUUAUUAUGGAUUUAUGAAUAUGUUUUGCCAUGGAUUUAUGUGACGAGGUUUGAGCUUUUGAGCUCCGAUGUUUGAUACGAGUUUUUGAGACAUGUUUUUAGUACUUAUUUAGUGGGUUAUCAUACGGCACAUCCGCACACCACGGGUAUAGAUGUCUAUACCCAUAGGACACAGAUGAUGGAGGAAUGAGAUAUGAUAUAUUAUAUACCCUCAGCUUCAUUGCUGAAAGCAGUGUCAGACAGCUUCACUAGCCACGGUUAGUGUCAGUGUGGAUGUAUGCUAUUUUAUACAGCUUCACCUUCGGCUGAUGGACAGGUUAUACAACUUUACCUUCGGGUGAUGGACAAGUUAUUCAGCUUCACCUUCGGGUGAUGGACAUUUACUGCCUUCGGGGUACUAUGUGACACGCCCCGAUCCUGAUAUUCCCCAAACACCAGGGUAGGUACGUGCUAGCCGACACCCGAAGGUGACGCAAGCCAUUUAGAAUGCAUGAGAACAAGAAUAAAUAGGACUUAUAAAUUUAAAUAUAAUGAAUAAGCAUUUAAGGAACGUGUUCAGAGCAUACAACUAACUAUAACACUAAAAGGAAUAACAUAAAAUUGAAAGAAUAAAAGAAUGGGUCCUACACCGAAAGGACUCGAAGAUACCGAUGCGGAAGUGCCUUGACGCAGGGAUUGUACACCUCGAUUCUAAGUCCUGAAGGGGGUGCAAAACAAACAUAAGUGGACCAACUUUAUAUAUAUAUAUAUAUAAUAUUGAAACAGUUAUCAACAUACUAACCCUCAGGUUUUAUGAAAACACAUAUAUCAUGAUAAAUAAAAUAGGUUUUUACGAAACCUAUCAUGCAGUGCAAUGCCUCAAAACAUAACUCGUAUAUAUAUAGUAAUCGCUAGUGAAUGUCCAAUCUCACUCCAAGCCCUGUGCCAGCUCCCUGUCCCUGUGCCAAUUGCCAGAGGAAAAUCACCUCAGGCCCCGUGCCAGCUUCCCAUGUCUCUCAACCCAUAGUUAGAGAUUAUUUCUUCAGGCCCUAUGCCAACACUAUAACGUCGCCCAUGACGAAAUCUAUCCCUCGCCCCGUAGCGGAAUAGGGACCACUAGGUAAGUACAAAACCAUUGAACAUACAUAUAUUUGAAAAGCAACUUCAUAGUAUAAAGUCAUUCAUCAUCUAUAUUAUAAAAAGGUGUUUGAAACAUGUUCUAAAUAUUAUAUCGUCAUCCAUCAGAUAUUCUAUAAAGAACACGGAUUAUAGGACUAUAACAUCAAAACAGGCUAUCCACUUGCUGCGUCCAACCUCCACACAUGCUUCCAUCUCAUUCUCAACUUCGUGAGGAAGUGGGAAGUCAUGUUACUCUAUUUGUACAUAGGCAAGAAAUUCCAAAACGAUGAGAUGUAAAAGGCAGAUUGUGUGAACAUGGUAUUAUAUAUGCAAUUUUGUUUGGACAUGGGUUUGGUUUGAGGUGGUACGUCUUGUAUUAAGUGGGAUGCUUACGACAAAGUUGGUAUAUGAAAUUGAACAGGUUUUGAUGAUUAGGUUUAAAUCUUGACGUGUCACUUUUGCUUACUAUAGGUCGGUUGGAUGCUAGGGAAAUCUCUUCUAAAGUGGAACUCUUCAUAAAUUAUAUGUCACAUCAUGUUUUUGGAAUAAUAUUUUAUAAUGUUGACAUAAGAAUUGUGUCAAAAACAAGAUGUGACAGAGAGUAUAUGUAGAGUCUUACUUUUGAGAGUCUCCUUAAUAUUUCUCUUUCUUAGCAAAAAUUCUCAAUCUUUCUAUCCUUGACGGUGGCAGAUAGUCCACAGAGAGUCCUACUUUGAGAAAGUCUCCCUAUUAUUUCUCAGCCAAGGAAACUCUCUCAAAAUAGGACUAUAAAUUCACUGACACCUCAUGUUUUUUGCACAAUAUUUUAUAAUAUUAGCACGAGAAUUGAUGUUAUACUGUGAGAUGAUAGAGAGUCCGUAAAGAGUUUCAAUUUGAGAUAGUCUCAUUUAUUGUUAAGAGACACUAAUCCCAACUGCUAAUCUUUAUCUUUACUACUAUAAAGCCAACACAAAGUCAUCAUAUAUUAAUAUUAACCUCCCACUAAGUAUACAAUAACAAUUUAAAAAGUAAAUGAGUAAAAGUGCAAAAUAAAAGUAGUAUUGUCACUUUACUUUGAAUAGAAAGAAAUAUGAAUUAUUCUCAUUCGAAUGUCUACUUGCAAUAAAAGAAUCAAGGACAGUUGGAAUUCACCUGGGAUUAGGAUUGGCAUGACGAGAAAUGCUAAGGAGACUCUUUCAAAAGUAAGACUCUCUAUGAAUUUUCUCUAUCAUCUCAUGUUUUUGUUACAAUGUUUAUAUUGUUGGCACGAGAAUUAACAUUUAUUUGUACCAUACUUAGGGCCUCCAUAUUUAGAUCUCGUAUAAAUACUCGGGGGACUUAAAUGUAAUUAUGUAAUAAAGGAAUGGGCAAAUAUGUAAUAAGUGAGGAACCCUUAUUCUAUAAAAUGACUCAUCACCCUCACAAUUAGGGGAGGCCAAUUCUUAGGCAUGAGAUCCUCACACUCUCUCCCUCACAAUCCUCUUAGAAAUACAAUAUCAGUGUGGACGUAGCCCAAACCUUGGGGUGAACCACGAUACAUCUUGUGUUAUUUACUUUCUUGCAGAUUCACGGUCGGAUUUACGUUGUUCCAAGACCUCCAGUUUUAUGCAUCAACAUUUGGCGUCGUCUGUGGGAAUCAACACAAAAAGUUAUGUCGGUCCUCUUUCAUUUUUUUCAUCUCACCACCAUGAAACCUCACCACUGUCCACCGUGGAUUGCAAAAAUCCAUACAGUGACACAUCCACGGAGAUAAUAGACGAGAAAAAGCUGCAAAGCUACCACGCUUUUAAUAGCCAAGGGAACUUGAUUAACUUACUACCUGCAGAUUGCCCAUUUCCAACACGUGUCAACUAAUGAGAUUGCCUAUUUCCAUGUCCUUGGCCUCUCACAUAGAGAGGGUUCUCUGGACUCUGGACCAAAUCACCACUCGUGUUUUCGAUCUUGCCGCCCAGAUCUCCGCCGACCUCUCCCCCUUCUCCGAACCCCUUGCACUCGUAGAUGUUGCCAACAACACCUUUCUCUUCCUCGCCGACUUGGCCCUCCAAAUCCUCUUCCCCGUCACCGUCGACUUCAUCCGUGCCAAAUCCUACGGCUCCAGGACCCUGUCCAUUAGUCCCCUAGAGAGGAUAGCCAUUUAUGAUCAAAGUUACCUUUGCUUUUCCCGGAUCCAUGGAUUUUGGGACCUCCGCUUUCUUUUCCGAUGGAUCUGAGGAUCUCCGUUCAUCUUUUUGUUCAUAGCUUCUGAUCCAACCCUCUGCAGACAGGCCAUGGGCGAAUCGGAGUCGCAGAUUCCUAGAUUAGGGUUUUUAAUCCAAGUUCGGGGGUUGUUGGGGAUCAUGGUGAUCUAGUGUCCCCACUCCCAUGGCUGCGAUCAUCGUUCACAGAAAAGGAGGUGCGACCUCUGAUGAUGGCGGCUAUGAGGUGAGGUUCUGGCUCUGUGCGGUUGGGAAUGGCAGAGAGAGAAGUGGCACGGAUUUGUGACGGCGAAUUCUCGAGACUUUGAGAAAUGAAACGGCUAUACUGUGAACAACACUUGCAUUCAUUGCCACCUCCAAAUUCUCUUUGGUUCUGCAACACUCUAAACCCGGUUUCUUACAGGCAAUACUGUGAACAACACCUGCACAAUUAAAGGUCUUGUAGAUGUGCUUUGCUUCCAUCAAAUGUUUGAAGGCAUGGGUUUUGGGGUUCGACAAGGCUGACAAUAUUCCAUAUGGUUUUGGGCUGUCCAAGCAGCUGUCAUUUCAGAGAAAAGCAAGAACAGCAAUGGCAAUUAAAAGCUUAAAGUCAGAUGGUCUCCAAGGCCAUAAAACAUGGGUGUAGGGGUGGGCAAACGGGUCUAGGAAUCGCGAGGCGGACCAGGUCUAGCCGGUUCGAGGCGCGUACCGGGCGGGUACAAGUUUUGUAAACUCAAAACGGGGCGGGUCCAUGUAAUUAGCGGGGCGGGGCGGGUCUAAAUUUCUGAAAAACCGAGUACCCGGGCCCGGACCGUUUCCACCGUCCAUAUACGAAGAUUAAAUCUCUACCAUUCAUUACUACCACUCUUUCUCUUAGUCGCUGACUCUCGCCUCCUCUCUCGACUUUUCCAGGAUCCAUCCUCUCUCAAGAUGGACUCUUGCCUACUCCACCGCUUCCUCAGCGCCUACUCCACCGCUCACUCCUCCUCUCGUUGAAGCCACGGCGGUCUUCAUCGGUGCUACCCCUACCCCAUAUUCUCUCAGAUCAGAGUCUUCGCUCCCCUCUCCCACUCUAGUCGAGGCCUCUUGUGAACACCACCACCGCCGUCGAAACCUCCUCCAUGAAAGACGCCUUCUCCAAAUAUUCUGAUUACCUCAACAAUCUCGUAAUCCCCAAUUUAAUCUUCACCAAUUUGCAGCUCUGUGAUCGACUCGAAGGUUUGUAGAAUGACAAGCGGGAAAGGGUUGUAAAAGCAAGUCGCGAUAUCACCAUUAAUAGCAAAAAGGUCAUCUUUAAGGUUCACAGGUAAGAAAGCUGCGACCUUUUGCUUCAAAUUUUGUUUCUGUUUUUUGGGUUUUUGGUUUUUUUUUUAUAAUAAUUUUAUUUAUAUCAUCAUUGAAAUGAUGUUGUUGUGGAAUUUGAACUUGAACAGAAUCAGUAAACACAACAAAGAGGAAGUUCUGCAGAAAGCUGAAAAGGAUUUAGUAGCUGUGAGUCUGUGACAGAUCAGUACAUGUCCCAGCUUGUUAGAGAGAUGCAGGCUAAAUUUUUUUCUUUUAUUACUGUUACUCUGGGAUUCUUUGAGAAAACUUGAAGCUUGAAUUGUUUUUGUUUUCUGGGUGAUUUGGAAAAUGGGCGAAAAAAAAAACAAGGACCCGUGUACCCGGCCCAAACCGGCCCAUUUGAAAAGGUUCGGUUUUUAUUUUAAAAUUUGUUGCACCUGGCCCACUCCGGCCCGUUUCUUUUACACCCGGGUCCGGUCCGGUCCCUUCAAAAUUGGGCCCGGCCCGGCCCGGCCCGUGCCCAACCCUACAUGGGUGGACAGAGGAGCGGAAAGAGAAAGCAAAAGCAAAAGAUUAUUCCCUUGUCUGUCAUCUGCCAAAAGAAAGAAAAAUAAAGAGAAAGCAAAAGGGAGGCACAUGGGGACACUGCAAAAGUAGGGAAUAAACACCACACCAGAAUGAUGUGAUUUACUUUUCUUGUUUUUGUAUUAUGUAAUUUAUUUUUCCUAUCUUUCGGAGAUAUAUGUAUAAACCCCAUCAGAAGGUAAUAGUAAAAAUAAAAAUAAAAACGGCAAAGCCCAAAAUAAAUGGGCUGACAUGUUGUGGAGGACGAAGGCCCAUAAACCCAAAAUAGCACCAACCAGGUGAUCAAAAGUACGUCCAGUACUCCAAAAUUAUUCGGCAACCUACCGCUAUUACCACCAACCAGGUGAUCAAAAGUAAGCCCAGUACUUCAAAUUAUACAUGAGUAUUACUCAUGUCAAUCAUACAUAAACAUUCAUGAGCAUCACUCAUUCAAUCAUACAUAAACAUUCAUGAGCAUCACUCAUGUCAACAUUCAUGAGCAUCACUCAUGUCAACAUCCAUGAGCAUCACUCAUGUCAAUCAACAUAAACAUUCAUGAGCAUCACUCAUGUCAAUCAGCUUUAAAAGCUUCAUUUACAAAAGCUCUAGCUUCAAAAGCUUCAUUUACAGAGCCCUAACUUCAAAAGCUUCAUUUACAAAAGCUUUAGCUUCAAAAGCUUCAUUUACAAAAGCUUUAGCUUCAAAAGCUUCAUUUACAGAGCUCCAGCUUCAAAAGCUUCAUUUACAAAAGCUCUAGCUUCAAAAGCUUCAUUUACAGAGCUCUAGCUUCAAAGCUUCACCUACAAAGCUUCAGUGCAGGGUAUACAAAUACCGCCUCCGAACAACCGCCACUUCGACCCAUACAUGGAUUCAAUUUGAAGUCUCUAGACAACAGACUCUAUUGACCGAAGACUUGGGGGACUACAUUAUGUACCAUAUAUUAGGCCUCAACUGGGCCUCAUGAAAAAUACUUGGGGGACUUAGCCCAUUAUUUAUGUACGGAUGAGCGAACCCUUAUUCUAUAAAAGGGACUCCUUCACUUUCAUUAGAAAGCACCCAUAACUUAUGUAUUGAGGAGCGAGCCCUUAUUCUAUAAAAUGGACUCCCUCACCAUCAUUAGAGAGCAUCGCCGCCUACUGAGCAACCGCCUCGCUGCGAGCAUCACUCCUAACCCAUCACUUAUGUAUCGAGGAGCAAGCCCUUAGUUUAUAAAAGGGACUCCAUCACCAUCAUUAGAGAGCAUCGCCGUCUACUGAACAACCGCCUCGCCGCAAGCAUCACUCAUAACCCAUCACUUAUGUAUUGAGGAGCGAGCCCUUAGUUUAUAAAAGGGACUCCCUCACCAUCAUUAGAGAGCAUCGCCGCCUGCUAAGCAACCGCCUCGCCGCGAGCAUCAACUCUAGCCCAUCAUUUCUGUAUUGAGGAGCGAGCCAUUAUUCUAUAAAAAGGACUCCCUCACCUUCAACGCCACAAGCCAAACCAACCAAGGCAACAUAAGCCACAAGCCGAGCAGCCUCACAACAUAUGCUACAUCUAGUUGAGCCUCAUUUCACAUUGAGCACCGCCUCAUAUCGAGUAUUCAGCUCUAGACGACAUCUAGUUACUUCGGCCCACACAUGGACUGAAUUUCAAGUCUCCAGCCAAAAGACUCUCUUGACUGAAGACUUAGGGGACUACUGUUUGUACCAUACUUAGGGCCUCCGUAUUUAGAUCUCAUAUAAAUACUCGGGGGACUUAAAUGUAAUUAUGUAAUAAAGGAAGGGGCAAAUAUGUAAUAAGUGAGGAGCCCUUAUUCUAUAAAAUGACUCCUCACCCUCACAAUUAGGGGAGGCCAAUUCUUAGGCCUGAGAUCCUCACACUCUCUCCCUCACAAUCCUCUCAGAAAUACAAUAUAUGUGUGGACGUAGCCCAAACAUUGGGGUGAACCACGAUACAUCUUGUGUUAUUUACUUUCUUGCUGAUUCACGGUCAGAUUUAUGUUGUUCCAAGACCUCCGGUUUUGUGCAUCAACAACAUUAAACUUUGAAGUGGUAAAAAGUCCAUAGAGAGUCCUACUUUGACAUAAUCUCUUUAGCAUUAACAUCAAAAUGUGAAGAAGGAAUAAAACUUGGGGAACUUUUGUAUUCCAUCUUUUUUCGGUUCUCCUUCUCAUCAUGCAAUGUUGCACAAUGAUGGGAAUCGUCUCCUUUCAAGUUCAACCUUUAAUAUCAACUUUACCGAAAAUCAACCAAAUAAAAUAUCAUUAACUGUUCAUUUAACUUUGUUAAAAUUUAAGUGUUCAACUGAAUAACAAUAAUCUAUAUCAUUAGAUGACUAAACGAUUUAGGAUUAGAUUGAUUUCUACAAGAGUUGACCUUUAAAGGGGGACUUAGAAAAUAAUGGUGAUCAUCAUACAACAUUGUAGGAUGAAAAGGAGAGUCAAAUGAGAAGGAGAGCCAAAAAAGUAAAACGAGAAUGUUCAAAUGAGAAAGUAACAAUCUUCAAAAAAUUGUAAAUCAAUGUUUUUCUUAGCAAAGAGCUCUUACUGGACAAUUACAUUAUCUUAGAAAACCGACUUUGAAUUCAGUGAGGCCCAAUCCAGUUUAAACCCGACCCAAAACCAAGUCAUUGCUUCCAAGUAUUACUGCAGCCUCUUAAUUUCGGAGAUUAGCAGUGCCAAGAUACACAGGGUGCAAAAACAACAAUCAAUCAUAUACACGCUCAUCUAUGUCAACAUAGACAUGUCAAAAAUUCACAUGCCUCCAAGACCAUUUACAAAAUAUGAAAAGUUCCGUUCCAAGAACUCCGAUCUUCGAUACUUUAAAGAAGGAACAAUUUUACAUGUCAUUUUAUGGGAUAAACCACCUAAAGGUUUUAGCAGGCAAUCCAUCAUCCUAUAAUCAGUUGGGAUACAACGACCCCCUCCAAUGAAGAGAAAGACAAAUUUAAGCCCUGAAACCAAAUAAAUUUUAAUCGGGAUGAUGAAAUCAAUAUAACAUCUGUGUAGAGAGAAGCGCAUGCUAAUUUCUACAAUAGAUAGAAGUAGGAGCAAAGCAUAGAAUGCAAACCUCAGCCGUGCAUGCCAAAUAUCUCUGAAGUUAAGCGAGUUCGCGUGAGAGCAAUCCCAUGAUGGGUGACCCACUGGGAAGUUCUCGUGUGAGUUCCCAGAAACAAAACCGUGAUGGCAUGGUCGAGGUCCAAAGCGGACAAUAUCAUGCUACGGCGGAGUCGAGCUCAUGAUGUGGUGAGGGCCCGGGCCGGGAUGUGACAAUUUGGUAUUAGAGCCAAUCCUUGGCCGGAAGUGUGCAGACGAUGACGUCGGGCCCCUAAAGGGGGUGGAUUGUAAGAUCCCACAUCGCCCAAGGGAAUGGAUACUCUAAGCCUUAUAUGUAUAUUCUCAUCUCUACCCAGCACGAGGCCUUUUGGGAGCUCACUGGCUUCGGGUUCCAUCGGAACUCCGAAGUUAAGCGAGUUCGCGUGAGAGCAAUCCCAUGAUGGGUGACCCACUGUGAAGUUCUCGUGUGAGUUCCCAGAAACAAAACCGUGAUGGCGUGGUCGGGGUCCAAAGCGGACAAUAUCGUGCUACGGCGAAGUCGAGCCUGGGAUGUGGUGGGGGCCCGAGCCGGGAUGUGACAAUUUGGUAUCAGAGCCAAUCCCUAGUCGGAAGUGUGUCUACGAGGAUGUCGGGCCUCUAAGGGGGGUGGAUUGUAAGAUCCCACAUCGCCCAAGGGAGUGGAUCCUCUAAGCCUUAUAUGUAUAUUCUCAUCUCUACCCAGCACGAGGCAUUUUGGGAACUCACUGGCUUCGAGUUCCAUCGAAACUCCGAAGUUAAGCGAGUUCACGUGAGAGCAAUCCCAUGAUGGGUGACCCACUGGGAAGUUCUCGUGUGAGUUUCCAGAAACAAAACCGUGAGGGCGUGGUCGGGGUCCAAAGCGGAUAAUAUCGUUCUACGGCUGAGUCGAGCCCAGAAUGUGGUGGGGGCCCGGGUCGGGAUGUGAUACUUCUUCUCCCCCUUUCCUCCGCUACCAUCCCGCAGCUUUUCUCUUUUCUUUUUUUUUCUUUGUUUUCCCAGCCACUCACGUGGCUUCCUUUUUCAACAUUAUAUGAUCAAGGUGCUUCCAAAAAAUCAUACGUCGUAAAUAUAAUCGCGUUACAAUUAAUAUUACGAAAAUACGUAAUUUUAAAUAGUGAAAUCAGGGGACAGGAUUUCAAAAAAACCGUGAAGAAAGAUGACAUUGAGGGAGAAAACACAAGAGAAAAUGCUAAUUCGAUAGAACUUCAAAAUUAAAAAUAUAUAUAAAAAGGAGAGAUAUUGUGGAAGAAGAUUACUGGACAAAAUAACACAUGAAGGAAAGAUAUUGUGAGGGAGAAAUAAGAAAAGAGAAUUGAAACAAGAGAAAUGAACUUCCACAAACAAACAAAAAAGAAAAACACAAAAAAAAAAGAACAAGAACAAGAGAAAUGAACGGUUUGGGGAAGAAGAAGAAAAAUGAGAUUUAAAUUCCUAGAAUUAAUCCUAUAAUUAAGGAUAAGAUUAACAUUAAUCACAAAUUUUAAAAAAAAACAGUAAUUACUUAAUUAGUCAAUUUAAGGAUAAAUUUGGCAAGAGAAUACAAAUAGGGGUGUGAUAUCCACACACCCUUUUUUACUUCUCAUCCACCCCUUAUUGAUUUCUAUCAUUUGAUAUUCUUCAAUUAAACAAAAUGGGAAUAUAACUAAGGCGUUUUAGCUAAAACAGUUUUUGAGAUUUGCAUAACACAUUACUUUGAUCCCUAAGAUUUGAAAUCAAUAAAAGUGGUUCAUGAGAUUGUACACAAUCAAUCAUUUUGGUCAUUUAGUGCAAAAUUAUGUUAAAUAAAGAUCAAAAUGAUAAAUCUACCCUCAAUUAAUAAACAAUUGACCAAAAUAAUUUGACAAAAAUUAAAGGUAUUUUGAUCAUUCUAUUCUUAUUUAAUGAGAUUUUUCAAAAAAUGACCAAAAUGAUUGAUGGUGGACAAAUUCAAUAACCAAUUCUAUUGAUUUCAAAUCUCAGUGACUAUUUUAGCUAAAACACCUAUAACGAAUAAUGGCUCAUAAAAUUGGACUUAUAUCAAGUUUCCCCAAAAUAAAAUGAUUCUAGGUGCAAGAAUUGCAAACUAAAUUGGAACAGAAAACUAUAUAGGGCUACAUUAUGAAUAGAAAAAUAAGAUAAAAACACGCGGGGUGCAGAGAGACUAAAAUGAAAAGUUAAAUUAGUUUUUUUUUUUCGAUAUACAGCUUAAAUCAGUCUUGAUAAUAACCUAUUCCGUACAACAACAGAGACCGGUACAAUAGCAAUGAACUAAUUUCUUCAAAGCUUGCUACGAUAUAGCCGUCGUUGGAGUGUGAUGAACAAAGGAACUUUCGAGCCCGAGCCCAAUGACAGACUCUCGUCAAUCAAAAAUGUCAGGUCAUCAUCAUCGAUUAGCUCCACCGGUCGGGUUGGUGAUUUUGAUCCAUAUGCUGUCGUUACUAUGAUCGUAUAUUCACUGGGAUUUACCUCAAGAGAAUUAUACAGUUUCUGCACAAGUUCCUUGUAUGUAAUACUAUCCGAAACCG
Molecule: long non-coding RNA, 27138 nt
Filed under: Malus domestica (apple)
Lineage: Eukaryota; Viridiplantae; Streptophyta; Magnoliopsida; Rosales; Rosaceae
Source: RNAcentral